This 509-nucleotide ribosomal RNA is filed under the name uncultured bacterium. Its description in RNAcentral is "bacterial SSU rRNA". It matches the Rfam family "Bacterial small subunit ribosomal RNA", at positions 17 to 518 of the family's 1533-position model. The record is from RNAcentral.
UUCUGGCUCAGGAUGAACGCUAGCGACAGGCCUAACACAUGCAAGUCGGGGGGCAGCACAAGGAGUAAUCUGAGGUGGCGACCGGCGCACGGGUGAGUAACACGUAUGCAACCUGGCUGUAAGAGGGGGAAUAACCCGGAGAAAUCCGGACUAAUACCGCAUAAUACUUAGAAUCCGCAUGGAUUUUAAGUUAAACAUUUAUGGCUUACAGAUGGGCAUGCGUAUGAUUAGCUGGUUGGAGAGGUAACGGCUCCCCAAGGCAACGAUCAUUAGGGGUUCUGAGAGGAAGGUCCCCCACACUGGUACUGAGACACGGACCAGACUCCUACGGGAGGCAGCAGUGAGGAAUAUUGGUCAAUGGACGCAAGUCUGAAACCCAGCCAAGUCGCGUGAAGGAAGAAUGUCCUAUGGAUUGUAAACUUCUUUUGAAGGGGAAUAAAGUACGGUACGUGUACCGUUUUGUAUGUACCCUUCGAAUAAGGAUCGGCUAACUCCGUGCCAGCCGCGGC